Molecule: RNA transcript, 4753 nt
Organism: Acanthopagrus latus (yellowfin seabream)
Lineage: Eukaryota; Metazoa; Chordata; Actinopteri; Spariformes; Sparidae
Gene name: adenosine receptor A1-like
Exons: 4
Source: RefSeq, a predicted model, not a curated record
UGACAUUGAAAAUGUAGUUUAAAAAACAAUGCGAUAAAUAAAGGUAGCGGACAAUUCGCAGAUAAUCUAACCACUGAUUGAGCCAGCGUCUUGUGCUUUUGAUUCUAAAAACGUGGGAGGGCUUUUGACAAAUUGCACACUCUUACAGCAUAAGGCCAAAAUAUUUCAGGCACCUCCUCGUUAUUUAUGAAUUCUCUGCAGAUAAAUCGUAGCAUUUAUUUCUCAGCAAGCCAUGGCUAAAAACCAGGCAAGAAUUUCUGAGUAGACGUGGCAGAGUGAAUCGAGUUCUCAUCUGCAGAGUGAUGGAAAUGAUGAUGAAAGUCAGGGCGGAGUUGCAGACACAUGAAGGAUUGAGGACAGAGGCCGAGAUAAAUCAUCCUCAGGGGAAAGACCUUCACUGUAGUCAAGGUGAGAGAAAGAGGCCUCGCGCUGAUCGUUUUCCGCCACUGAACAGGUUGUCACGGUGUUGAUCUCUUUCCUGACUGGAGAAGAUGAAAACUUUGCCCAAACUGUGUCUGUUCAAAAACUGCAGCCCUGCUUGCAAUUCAGUACACAUGCCUGUGUGAACAGAACGUGUAUGCAUCACAUGCUUUUACGCGACUUGUUUAUUCGUCUCAUUUGCAUCUAGAUAGGUUUGUUUGAAUGCGUCUGUCGUGCAGCUGAGUCCUGCUGUUUGCCACUGAUACCGGGACAACGUUGUCCAGCAUUGUUGUGUUGUCUCCCUCCGACACAAAUCAUCUGGCCGUUUGUCUUGGCCCAGCUUCUUUCUUAGUGUCAGAGCUUCAAAGUCUUGUGCUUUUCAAACUCUCUUCAUCCUAAGCUUUCAGCCCAGGUGCCAAGACAACAUUUUCUGCAAAUCACUGAUUCGUUGACAUCUGUACGUGUCAUAGACGACGUGGGAUAUUGACUUUUCUAUAAGCUGCCUGUAAUCACAUUCUCAUCAUGUGUUUAUGACCUGACUUUCACAUCCAGGCAAAAAGGCGCCAAAGCCAGUGACCCCAGUUCAAGGCUGUGUUUCAACAUUUUUAAGUGGGAAAACGCUAGCUAAUUUAAAUAUUGAAAAAAUUGUUUGUGGCAACAAAAGAAAAAAUAUAUUUGGGGCAGAGCCAGCGUCUUGUUAGGUCUGAAGGUCCGAAGGUCAGUGGUUCGAUUCCCCUGGUCUGCGUGUCGAAGUGUCAGCAAGACACUGAGCCUCAAACUGCUCCUGGUGGUCGGCACCUUGCACGGCAGCCAGCGCCAUCAGUAUACGAGUGUAUCUAUGAAUUACUGUAAGUCGCUUUGGGCAAAAGUGUCUGCUAACUGUCCUAGAUGUAAAUUGUAUUUUUGACAAGAAGUCUGGAGAUUUCUAGCCAUGUUUGUGGCGACCAAAACAGGUAUCUCAAGCCCAGGCAUGAUCUUUUCCUAACCCCAACCAAGUGGUUUUGGCGCAUAAACCUGACCAGAUUGUGCACAACAUUAAAGCAGAUGUUCAAACCAGAGGAAACUUAAUGUUGCAUCACAUCUGCAGUUUGCAGAAAGUACAUAACCAAUAUUCAUACUGGCAUGACUGGCAUGACUGGGUUAAAAAGGGAGUCUAAAUGAUGAAAUCAUGUGUAAACAUCAGUGUGAGUUGCAUUUCUGACACAAUAUGCACCUGUCAUGAGAAUGAAUGAUGUUCUCCUCCUCAGACAUCAGUGUGUCCACUCCCACAGAGGGCCAGCUUUCAGUCACACAUAUGACUUUGCAGAAAGAAGAUCAGGUUUUUUUUAAAAAAAAUUUUUAUUGUUGUUUUUUUUUUUGUAACAAUCUGAACUCCUUUAGUGAAUGUCAACAUGUCUAAAUUUGGAUUAUUUCGUGAGAAACAAUUACCCAGAGGAACAUAAACAUUUGCGUAUCUCGAGCCAAUUAAAUCGCGUCUGAAUAAAUUGGAGAGAUCCUUCUGGAUUGGCUGAUGGCGCAAUUAUCAAAAAAAUGAGUCAGACCGAGCAGGAAACGACACUAUUUGGGAUUAACUCUGUUUAUUUAGCCGACCUUUGACACAUGCCUGACGGGCUUUGGGAACCUGCUGGUGACUCAUUCAGUUCUCCGGUCGGUCCUGUCCCUCUGCCAGCGCCAAACUGCAGGGGCCACUUCAUUCUCGGAACCGCCGCCUCGGGACCGUAUGGAGACCAGCGUCUUGCGCGCAGCUCGAUGUCCUGGAGGAGAUCCUAAAAUAAUACAGCGCAUGGGACACUACCUCUACCUCUGUGGGGACAUAAAACAUGCGAACCCCAAGCCUGGCUGUCUCAGUCGGUGCCAACAAACUCCAACAGGGAACUCCCUCGACGUGUUGUGGAGCCGUUUUCUCCGCUGAGCGCGCACUCCUCCAGCAUCCUUGAACAUGACUUCGGGUCUGCCUGCCUCUAAAGCCCUCUACAUCGGGAUGGAGGUGGUGAUCGCCGUGUCGUCGGUCAUCGGGAACGUGAUGGUGGUCUGGGCUGUGCGUAUUAACCGCUCCCUGAGAGACACCACGUUUUGUUUCAUCGUCUCCCUGGCCUUGGCUGACAUUGCGGUCGGGGCGCUCGUCAUUCCCCUCGCCAUAACCAUCAGCAUCGGACUCCAGACGCACUUUUACAGCUGCUUGCUGGUCGCCUGCACCGUGCUCGUCCUCACUCAAAGUUCAAUCCUGGCGCUGCUGGCCAUCGCCAUCGACCGCUAUCUGAGAGUCAAGAUACCCAUGAGCUACAAGCGGGUGGUGACCCCUCGGCGAGCUGGCACAGCCGUGCUAUUGUGUUGGCUGGUGUCCAUUGUAGUGGGCCUCACGCCCAUGUUGGGUUGGAACAACCUGCAGAGUCUCCGUGACAAUGGCUCCCUGGUCACCGAUGACCUCUUGGUGACGUGUCAGUUUGAGACGGUCAUCAGCAUGGACUACAUGGUCUACUUCAACUUCUUUGGCUGGGUGCUGCCCCCUCUGCUCCUCAUGCUGGCCAUCUACGUCGAAAUUUUCUACAUGAUCCACAAGCAGCUCAACAAGAAGGUGACAGCUAGCCACACAGACCCCAGCCGUUACUUUGGCAAGGAGCUGAAGCUAGCCAAGUCGCUCGCCCUCGUUCUCUUCCUCUUCGCAGUCAGCUGGCUCCCUCUUCACAUCCUCAACUGCAUCACCCUAUUUUGCCCUACCUGCAAUAAGCCAGAGUUCCUCAUUUACAUCGCCAUUAUCCUCACCCAUGGCAACUCGGCAGUCAACCCCAUCGUUUAUGCUUUCCGCAUCAACAAAUUCCGCACUGCGUUCCGGAAAAUCUGGAAACUGUAUGUGCUCUGUCAGGAUCCUGUUGGUCGGCUUCCUCAAAGAGGGAGCCAGAGAGGACAGAGUCAUGAGAGGAGGCUGAGGCAGAACGACGAUGACGACGAUGACGUGUGACCUGUGUCGACUUACAGGAUUGCUGUGUAACUGUUGAGUUUCACUCCACUGGUUCACAGAAUGGAAAAGACUGGCUUUUCUUUUCAUGAUCAAGGGACUGCCAGUCAAAAUGGUCUUUAGUGGCAUCGAAGGAUGCCACAGGGAUGACAGAGAUGAGGGAACUCCAUUGUUAACUGACUGAUUUCCUCCAUCCAACACACUGUAAGAAGGCAGGAUGACAAAUGUGCACGGAGACAGGCUAAAUAUCCUGAAUCAGACUUUGAUUUAAAUAAGACUGAUUGUUUAUCUCUCCACUGGCUUACAAAACGAUGAUGAUGUCUAAUGGGAAAAGGGGCUUCUCAUCAGUUCAACCUGUUGAACUUGAAUCACAGGUGGAAGCAUCAAAAUCCACUCCGACAGAAAAUAGCAUCUCUUUCUCUCUCGACACGAUUCUCUGCAUCAAGGCUGAAGCUGAAGCUGAAACUAUCAGCGGUGGGCCAUUUUUUUGUGGACACGCAUCGAUCUUCUGUCAGACAGCAGGCUCAUGUGUGAAUGAACGAGCAGGUUAUGGGGAAUGCAGGAAUUCGAGGGUGAGGUGGGACCGGGCAAAAGGAAUAUUCUGUUUACAAGGGAACCAGAGGGAGAGAGUGCAGCUGAGGAACUCACCAAGAGUGGAGGUCAACAUCAAGGCCACCCUGACACUUUCCCAUCUAAUAAAGAGACCUGUUAAUGUGACCCCUUAACCUGCUGUGGCACUGAGUGUUACAACCUACACAAUAUAUAGGCAGACACAUACAUAUGUCUACAACGGGCAGUUGUACUUACUGUAUUUCCAAUGCUGCUUUUGUAAUAAGGAUUUCAUGUGAUUUUUUUUCUCACUGUGUGCUUAUGUGAAAUGCUUUUACAGCCACUAUAUGUAGAAUGUGAUAUUAUAUGUACAGUAUAUUAUGUUAUACUUCAUUCUGUGCUCUCUGGUUGAGGGUGAAGAUGUGCUCAUUGUCUAACACAAUGUCUUUUAUGUCACUACCACUAGGGGGCACAUACAUUUUAAAUUCUACAUAUAGUGGCUUUAUGUUUUCAUCUGUUUACUUUAACUGAACCAGUGUGACAAAUGAAACAUUAUGUGUGCAAUAUUCUCAGAUGUACAUUAACAAUAUCAAAAGGAAAUUCUGCAGUUUAGAUCGUGUAUGUGUAGACACUGUAUAUCAGUUUUAAGUGCUGGAUGAUCUAAGCAUUAUGUGCCGAUAUUGUAUACUGUAAUUAUGAAGGAAUAUGUGAAUACAUAUAUGUGAAUAGAUGGGGUCAAAACACAGACUCUUAAUCCUGGUUGAAUGUGUGGAUGCGGACUGUGUCGAUUGCUGUGCCGUUGGAAAAUAAACUUUUCCAUUAAACAUG